Molecule: ribosomal RNA, 465 nt
Filed under: Vreelandella stevensii
Lineage: Bacteria; Pseudomonadati; Pseudomonadota; Gammaproteobacteria; Oceanospirillales; Halomonadaceae
Description: partial 16S ribosomal RNA
Rfam family: Bacterial small subunit ribosomal RNA
Source: RNAcentral
CCUACGGGCGGCUGCAGUGGGGAAUAUUGGACAAUGGGGGCAACCCUGAUCCAGCCAUGCCGCGUGUGUGAAGAAGGCCCUCGGGUUGUAAAGCACUUUCAGUGAGGAAGAACGCCUGGUGGUUAAUACCCAUCAGGAAAGACAUCACUCACAGAAGAAGCACCGGCUAACUCCGUGCCAGCAGCCGCGGUAAUACGGAGGGUGCGAGCGUUAAUCGGAAUUACUGGGCGUAAAGCGCGCGUAGGUGGCUUGAUAAGCCGGUUGUGAAAGCCCCGGGCUCAACCUGGGAACGGCAUCCGGAACUGUCAAGCUAGAGUGCAGGAGAGGAAGGUAGAACUCCCGGUGUAGCGGUGAAAUGCGUAGAGAUCGGGAGGAAUACCAGUGGCGAAGGCGGCCUUCUGGACUGACACUGACACUGAGGUGCGAAAGCGUGGGUAGCAAACAGGAUUAGAUACCCUGGUAGUC